RNAcentral lists this ribosomal RNA (58 nucleotides) under Cladosporium herbarum. Its description in RNAcentral is "28S ribosomal RNA". Lineage: Eukaryota; Fungi; Ascomycota; Dothideomycetes; Cladosporiales; Cladosporiaceae. The record is from RNAcentral.
GUUGACCUCGGAUCAGGUAGGGAUACCCGCUGAACUUAAGCAUAUCAAUAGCGGAGGA